GUAACCCUACGGGAGGCAGCAGUAGGGAGUCUUCCACAAUGGACGAAAGUCUGAUGGAGCAACGCCGCGUGAGUGAAGAAGGGGUUCGGCUCGUAAAGCUCUGUUGGGAGUGAAGAAAGAUAGAGGUAGUAACUGGCCUUUAUUUGACGGUAAUUACUUAGAAAGUCACGGGUAACUACGUGCCAGCAGCCGCGGUAAUACGUAGGUGGCAAGGGGUGUCCGGAGUUAUUGGGCGUAAAGGGAG
This 244-nucleotide ribosomal RNA is filed under the name uncultured bacterium. RNAcentral's name for it is "partial 16S ribosomal RNA". It matches the Rfam family "Bacterial small subunit ribosomal RNA", at positions 333 to 569 of the family's 1533-position model. The record is from RNAcentral.